This 673-nucleotide ribosomal RNA is filed under the name uncultured bacterium. Its description in RNAcentral is "bacterial SSU rRNA". It matches the Rfam family "Bacterial small subunit ribosomal RNA", at positions 56 to 762 of the family's 1533-position model. The record is from RNAcentral.
UGCAGUCGAACGAGAAAGGGUAGCAAUACCUGAGUAAAGUGGCGUACGGGUGAGUAACACGUGGAUCAUCUACCUCUUAGCGGGGAAUACCUCUGGGAAACCGGAGACAAUACCGCAUAAGCUCGAGAGAGGAAACCCGAAAGGGGCUGAGAGAGGAGUCCGCGGCCGAUUAGCUAGUUAGUAGGGUAAAAGCCUACCAAGGCGAAGAUCGGUAGCCGGCCUGAGAGGGCACACGGCCACACUGGCACUGAAACACGGGCCAGACUCCUACGGGAGGCAGCAGUGGGGAAUCUUGCACAAUGGGGGAAACCCUGAUGCAGCGACGCCGCGUGAGCGAUGAAGCCCUUCGGGGUGUAAAGCUCUUUCGACGGGAACGAUAAUGACGGUACCCGGAGAAGAAGCUGCGGCUAACUACGUGCCAGCAGCCGCGGUAAUACGUAGGCAGCAAGCGUUGUUCGGAGUUACUGGGCGUAAAGAGUGCGUAGGCGGUGCCCUAAGUCUGUUGUGAAAUCUCCCGGCUUAACUGGGAGGGCGCGGUGGAAACUGGGGUGCUUGAGUGUGGGAGAGGUAAGCGGAAUUCCUGGUGUAGCGGUGAAAUGCGUAGAUAUCAGGAGGAACACCGGUGGUGUAGGCGGCUUACUGGACCACGACUGACGCUGAGGCACGAAAGCGU